AAAGCUUUAUGUUAAAAUAAACUAUCAACCUUCAAAGUUGUCAUUAAGAAAUAAAAUAUCUUAAGCUUUA
Molecule: transfer RNA, 70 nt
Filed under: Arisubathynella cheongmiensis
Lineage: Eukaryota; Metazoa; Arthropoda; Malacostraca; Bathynellacea; Parabathynellidae
Description: tRNA-Trp
Source: RNAcentral